GCUAUGUGCAAAUCAUCAGGAUGAGAACCUGCUGCAGGUUCGAGUCUCACACAGUGAGACAACGGAGCCGCUUGCGGCGACGGCCCGAAGGGCGAGCAAAGCGAGUCAUCCUGCACGACCCACCA
This 125-nucleotide small RNA is filed under the name Citrobacter amalonaticus. RNAcentral's name for it is "RtT sRNA". It matches the Rfam family "RtT RNA". From Rfam's summary of the family: This family represents a bacterial cis-regulatory element known as RtT RNA. The exact function of RtT is unknown although it is thought that it may be involved in changing the cellular response in relation to amino acid starvation. Lineage: Bacteria; Pseudomonadati; Pseudomonadota; Gammaproteobacteria; Enterobacterales; Enterobacteriaceae. The record is from RNAcentral.